RNAcentral lists this ribosomal RNA (630 nucleotides) under uncultured bacterium. Its description in RNAcentral is "bacterial SSU rRNA". The stretch from base 1 to 541 matches the Rfam family "Bacterial small subunit ribosomal RNA", at positions 338 to 873 of the family's 1533-position model. The record is from RNAcentral.
CCUACGGGAGGCAGCAGUGGGGAAUUUUGGACAAUGGGGGCAACCCUGAUCCAGCCAUUCCGCGUGUGCGAUGAAGGCCUUCGGGUUGUAAAGCACUUUUGGCAGGAAAGAAAUCGCACGGGUUAAUAACCCGUGUGGAUGACGGUACCUGCAGAAUAAGCACCGGCUAACUACGUGCCAGCAGCCGCGGUAAUACGUAGGGUGCAAGCGUUAAUCGGAAUUACUGGGCGUAAAGCGUGCGCAGGCGGUUCGGAAAGAAAGGUGUGAAAUCCCAGGGCUUAACCUUGGAACUGCACUUUUAACUCCCGAGCUAGAGUAUGUCAGAGGGGGGUGGAAUUCCGCGUGUAGCAGUGAAAUGCGUAGAUAUGCGGAGGGACACCAAUGGCGAAGGCAGCCCCCUGGGAUGAUACUGACGCUCAUGCACGAAAGCGUGGGGAGCAAACAGGAUUAGAUACCCUGGUAGUCCACGCCCUAAACGAUGUCAACUAGCUGUUGGGGGCCUCGGCCCUUAGUAGCGCAGCUAGCGCGUGAGUAGACCGCCGUCGGGAGGUACGGUCGCGAGAGUUAAACGUACAAUAGAAGUAGACGGCGUGAGACGUGACCGACGGACGACGACGACGGGAGGUUAGG